ACGAAGAGAAUGAUGAUAGGGGUUUAUAAGGGAAGACAAAAGGUAUAAGAAAGUCAAAUAUCAAAGAGGCUUGAUCAUUAGACAACUGAGAGGCCUUACAAUCGAUGUUGAUGCGAGGGGUAGGUAUUGCCAUGGAACAGAUGCACUAGAGCUAUAAAUACAUGAAAACUCUUUAUAUGAAACUAAGUGGGUGUGUAUCCAACUUACUUUCUUAUGAAGACCUCAAGCAUUUAAGGAAGCUUGGCAUCGGAGUGUGCAAGUCAAGUUCUAUAAUGUAAAAUUCCCACAAGUAUAUGAGAAUGAAGAUAAUGAGGACUCUCUGUAUGAAAUGCAAGCUGCUACUUUGAAGCACAAGCGUGGUACGAGAAUAGUGAUGCGCACCCUCUCUCUUUUUUUUCAUUUUUUUCUUUCUUUUUCAUUUUUUGUGGGCUAUUUUUUACCCCUCUUUUUUGUUUCCUUUUUUAGCCUCACGGGUAGGAGUUCACCCUAACAAUGCAUCACACUUUAUCUUAGUUACAACUCAAAAGAUAUGAACAAUAUUAUGACUAAAAAUGAAUGCCUCUGGCAUUGUACUAGGAUGUGCAGUGAUCUAGAGUAACAUGUAUUAUAAUGAUGAAGGGUGGCUUUGCCAGAAAUUUCAUGGCAGCUCUAUAUGAUCAUGUAAAGGAAUAAGACAAUGAAUGAUCAAUAGUAACA
This 696-nucleotide long non-coding RNA is filed under the name Hordeum vulgare. Its description in RNAcentral is "long non-coding RNA (HVUL_LNC004701)". The record is from RNAcentral. Lineage: Eukaryota; Viridiplantae; Streptophyta; Magnoliopsida; Poales; Poaceae.